UAGGGAAUUUUUCACAAUGAGCGAAAGCUUGAUGGAGCAAUGCCGCGUGAACGAUGAAGGUCUUUAAGAUUGUAAAGUUCUUUUAUUUGGGAAGAAUGACUUUAGCAGGUAAUGGCUAGAGUUUGACUGUACCAUUUUGAAUAAGUGACGACUAACUAUGUGCCAGCAGUCGCGGUAAUACAUAGGUCGCAAGCGUUAUCCGGAUUUAUUGGGCGUAAAGCAAGCGCAGGCGGAUUGAAAAGUCUGGUGUUAAAGGCAGCUGCUUAACAGUUGUAUGCAUUGGAAACUAUUAAUCUAGAGUGUGGUAGGGAGUUUUGGAAUUUCAUGUGGAGCGGUGAGAUGCGUAGAUAUAUGAAGGAACACCAGUGGCGAAGGCGAAAACUUAGGCCAUUACUGACGCUUAGGCUUGAAAGUGUGGGGAGCAAAUAGGAUUAGAUACCCUAGUAGUCCACACCGUAAACGAUAGAUACUAGCUGUCGGGGCGAUCCCCUCGGUAGUGAAGUUAACACAUUAAGUAUCUCGCCUGGGUAGUACAUUCGCAAGA
This 544-nucleotide ribosomal RNA is filed under the name uncultured bacterium. RNAcentral's name for it is "bacterial SSU rRNA". It matches the Rfam family "Bacterial small subunit ribosomal RNA", at positions 355 to 893 of the family's 1533-position model. The record is from RNAcentral.